RNAcentral lists this long non-coding RNA (1781 nucleotides) under Malus domestica (apple). Its description in RNAcentral is "long non-coding RNA (MDOM_LNC014088)". Lineage: Eukaryota; Viridiplantae; Streptophyta; Magnoliopsida; Rosales; Rosaceae. The record is from RNAcentral.
UGGGGAUUCGUUGGAUGGGGAUAGCCAAUUAAGGGAAUUGGGAAAGUGAAUGAGAUGGGAAUGGGAAAAGUGAAGUCGGAGGUCUGGGAAUGAGGAAAUAGUUGUUCGAACCUCUCUUUCUUUUUUUUAAUAAAAAAGGGUGAGGCUCUCACAUUGCUUAAUAAGAUGGGUGAGUUUUAUUUUUUUUGUAUUUUUAAAUGACUUGACUCAAAACAACGUCGUUUUGGCCGAGUGAUUAAAAAGAGCAGUCUUCUUCUCCUAAUUUGCAGAACCUGAAGUGUAGUCGUCGUUGCUAUUCUCCUCCAUCACAUGCCCAGACAUGGGUGGUCCUUGGAAGUCUUCACAACUACUUAUCCGGGCUUUCGGAUGAUUUUAAGACCACUUAGGUCCCUUAAUAGAUCCCCUGUGACUGUCCAUAGUAUUCCAGUAUAAUAUAAUGCAAUAUUAUUUGUGAAUUUAUCUCUAUGUGACAUUGCAUUAUAAACCGAAACGUCAUGUGAUGGAAAAUUCAUUCCAUAACUAGAGUGGUAAGAUUAAAAAUUUAUCCAAAUUUAAAAUCUAAUUAACUGAUGCAUCAACCUUUUUUAGCGGCGAGUAUGAAAUCAAGUGGGUGAAUAAAACAUCACUCGAAUUCAAAUUGUGUAAAUAUUUUCUGCUCAUAAAUUGCAACACGUUGCAUAUCAGUUUUGCACACAAAAUGACAAUUCUGCCUUUGGAAGAAAUGUAGGCCUACAAUCCCUUCGAGACGUCCUCCAGGCAGGCCUGGCUCAGGCCCAGUACGGGCAGGGCAAUCGUUCGGGACCCAAUAAAUUUGGAGGCAUCAAAAUUAUUAGGGUGAUAUAUUUAUAUAUGUUUUUAUAAGAGUAUAAAUUUAUAAAAUUUGGUUUAGUGACAAAGAAAUUUAAUUAGAACUGGUGGCAUUGUUGUUUAAAAUGAAUGAGGAGAUCUUAGGUUCAAAACACCAUGUGUGCUUAUUUACAUUCCAAUUUUAAAAAAUUUCGUUUCAUAACAGUAUAAAUUUAUAAAAUUUGGCUAAAUGAUCAAAAAGUUUAAUUAGAAGCAAUGGUUUUUUGUCGUUUAAAAUUAAUGAGAGGUCCUAAGUUCGAAAUGCUAUGUGCAUGUUUAUUUUUUUUUUCAAUUUUUACAAAUUUUUGUUUGGUUGUUAAUUUAUUUACUAGCUAGUAGCUAUGUGGGUUGCUAUUUUUAAAAAUCCAUUCCAAUUCCAGUCUAAUCUUCAACAAAGAGUAAUGCUUAGACUAAAUUUUUAGACUAAAUUUGCAAAUAAUAUUACAUGUCAUCAAAAUGUUUAAUUUAGUGUUCAUUCAUUACUUAUACAUAUCCUUAAAGACUCAAAAACAUUAAUAUUUUUUAGUCUUAUAUUGACGGGUUAGUAAAUAAGAAAAAAUAACUCAUGAUUUAUACAAAAACACUUUAAAAGUUCAGAUGGAAAACAAAACUUAUAAUCUAUCUACUUGUAAGCCCAAAGUUUUUUAGUUUCCUUCUCUUGAUACAAAAUAAUUUAAUUAUUUCGUGUUUCUAAAUUAUUGAGUUUGAAAUGUUUUUCUAAAUAUAAUUUUAUUGAUGUCUUACGUGUGAAAAUAAAUAUUUUUUUUAUAUGAAAUGAAGGCACAUUUUUUGACGUCGCCCCGGCCCUGCCUCCGGGACCUACAAUCCUACAACUUUGUCUUUUAACUGUAGUUGUUUUCCCAUAUUUAACCAAUUUGAACAGAGAUUAAAUUUUUUUGCACUCAAAAUAUGUGACUUGUCAUUGUUUGACACAU